AGAAAAUCAGCCACCAAUGGUACUUCCUCCACCCUGCCGUUGUCUCCUCCCCUUCGGUAUUUGCGGUUCAUAAAAUAUGGAGAAAUGGAAGCUUCGAAUCGUCAUCUAUAUUAUCUCGAGAUCUUGAUACUAACAAGGUGUGUAAUGGAUGGUAGAUUAAUUAGUUGGAAGACAGGAAAGCAUAUGUCGUCAAUUUGUUUAGUUUAGAUUUGCUUACAUUACUUUGAUUUAUUUCACUUUGUAAGAUAGUAUUUUGUAUAAUGUAAUAGUAUACAAACUCAUAUCUCUUGUACUCCUUAUUUGAAUAAUAAUAACGAGACGUGUUUAGUAUUUCUA
This is a long non-coding RNA of Spinacia oleracea (spinach), 336 nucleotides long. RefSeq lists it as uncharacterized. The transcript is spliced from 2 exons. The record is from RefSeq and is a predicted model, not a curated record. Lineage: Eukaryota; Viridiplantae; Streptophyta; Magnoliopsida; Caryophyllales; Amaranthaceae.